RNAcentral lists this ribosomal RNA (258 nucleotides) under uncultured bacterium. RNAcentral describes it as "partial 16S ribosomal RNA". It matches the Rfam family "Bacterial small subunit ribosomal RNA", at positions 524 to 782 of the family's 1533-position model. The record is from RNAcentral.
UACGAAGGGGGCUAGCGUUGCUCGGAAUUACUGGGCGUAAAGCGCACGUAGGCGGCUUCUUAAGUCGGAGGUGAAAUCCUGGAGCUCAACUCCAGAACUGCCUUCGAUACUGGGAGCUCGAGUCCGGGAGAGGUGAGUGGAACUGCGAGUGUAGAGGUGAAAUUCGUAGAUAUUCGCAAGAACACCAGUGGCGAAGGCGGCUCACUGGCCCGGUACUGACGCUGAGGUGCGAAAGCGUGGGGAGCAAACAGGAUUAGA